AUAACUGGGGGCCAGACUGUACUGAACUUUAAAAGUUAUUGAGAUAAUAUUAAAUAUCAGUUCUUAACUUAACUGGCAGCCACGGU
This 86-nucleotide microRNA precursor is filed under the name Hippoglossus hippoglossus (Atlantic halibut). RNAcentral's name for it is "microRNA hhi-mir-7791 precursor". The record is from miRBase by way of RNAcentral. Lineage: Eukaryota; Metazoa; Chordata; Actinopteri; Pleuronectiformes; Pleuronectidae.